GACGAACGCUGGCGGCGUGCUUAACACAUGCAAGUCGAACGGAAAGGCCCUGCUUUUGUGGGGUGCUCGAGUGGCGAACGGGUGAGUAACACGUGAGUAACCUGCCCUUGACUUUGGGAUAACUUCAGGAAACUGGGGCUAAUACCGGAUAGGAGCUCCUGCUGCAUGGUGGGGGUUGGAAAGUUUCGGCGGUUGUGGAUGGACUCGCGGCUUAUCAGCUUGUUUGUGGGGUAGUGGCUUACCAAGGCUUUGACGGGUAGCCGGCCUGAGAGGUUGACCGGCGACAUUGGGACUGAGAUACGGCCCAGACUCCUACGGGAGGCAGCAGUGGGGAAUAUUGCACAAUGGGCGGAAGCCUGAUGCAGCAACGCCGCGUGCGGGAUGACGGCCUUCGGGUUGUAAACCGCUUUCGCCUGUGACGAAGCGUGAGUGACGGUAAUGGGUAAAGAAGCACCGGCUAACUACGUG
Molecule: ribosomal RNA, 468 nt
Filed under: uncultured bacterium
Lineage: Bacteria
Description: partial 16S ribosomal RNA
Rfam family: Bacterial small subunit ribosomal RNA
Source: RNAcentral